Small nucleolar RNA from Pangasianodon hypophthalmus (striped catfish), 77 nucleotides. RefSeq annotates it as small nucleolar RNA SNORD83. The record is from RefSeq and is a predicted model, not a curated record. NCBI's taxonomy places the organism in Eukaryota, Metazoa, Chordata, Actinopteri, Siluriformes, Pangasiidae. The transcript has a single exon.
GCCACAUGAUGUUAUAUAGACGGCAUUAGCACUCAGUGCAAAGAUGACCUAGUAUCUAUCACCCGAGACUGAUGGUU